CCUACGGGAGUCAGCAGUAGGGAAUCUUCCACAAUGGACGAAAGUCUGAUGGAGCAACGCCGCGUGAGUGAAGAAGGGUUUCGGCUCGUAAAGCUCUGUUGGUAGUGAAGAAAGAUAGAGGAAGUAACUGGCCUUUAUUUGACGGUAAUUACUUAGAAAGUCACGGCUAACUACGUGCCAGCAGCCGAGGUAAUACGUAGGUGGCAAGCGUUGUCCGGAUUUAUUGGGCGAAAAGCGAGUGCAGGCGGUUCAAUAAGUCUGAUGUGAACGCCUUCGGCUCAACCGGAGAAUUGCAUCAGAAACUGUUGAACUUGAGUGCGUAAGAGGAGAGUGGAACUCGAGGUGUAGCGGUGGAAUGCUUAGAUAUAUGGAAGAACACCAGUUGCGAAGGCAGCUCUCUGGUCCGCAACUGACGCUGAGGCUCGAAAGCAUGGGUAGCGAACAGGAUUAGAUACCCUUGUAGUC
This 465-nucleotide ribosomal RNA is filed under the name uncultured bacterium. RNAcentral's name for it is "partial 16S ribosomal RNA". It matches the Rfam family "Bacterial small subunit ribosomal RNA", at positions 338 to 795 of the family's 1533-position model. The record is from RNAcentral.